CUUUAAUGAUGCAACUUGCACAUGUCUUACGCCCUGUGUCGGCACCAGAACCUGAAAAGGUGAACCCACUGGUGUUACCUGGGCAAGAAGGGGAUGACUUGUUGGGGUUACCAACAGUCUGAAAAGG
This is a small nucleolar RNA of Misgurnus anguillicaudatus (oriental weatherfish), 127 nucleotides long. RefSeq annotates it as small nucleolar RNA SNORD22. The record is from RefSeq and is a predicted model, not a curated record. Lineage: Eukaryota; Metazoa; Chordata; Actinopteri; Cypriniformes; Cobitidae.